AAUAAUGAGAAAGGCUCAUGAAAUUAUUUGUUAUCCAGAAAUAACCUUUGCAAGUAAUGUUGGUAAGUAUAGGAAAAGGAAAAAAUCUUUACCAUUUUCUUUCUCAUCUUCAGUAUAACUGUGGUAUUUUAAGCUUAAUAGAGAUAAACUGAACAGAUUUACAUUUAGACUUAGUUUCACAUUCUUACAGAUUAUUUUUAGGGCUUGGUGAAUCAGGAGUGUUUUUAUGUCUUAGACAAACUUUAUUUUGUAAGAUACUUCUUUAUAUAAGCAAUAACCUCAAUUUGAGUUACUGUGGAAGACAAAUUUGUGAAGGAAAUGGAACCCAGCAGAUUUCUCAGAAAUAGUAUAUGUGAGAAACGCGACUUGUAUAAUGCAGUGAUUUCUUUAAUUCGUCAUAUGUUUGGGUAAUUAGAAAUUUUUCCAGCCUUAUAGUCAUUGAACAUCUAACCAUAAAGAAAUGAGACAAAUCUAGUUAAUAGCCCUAAAAACAACCCCAUGACUCUUAGGAAAAAAGAAUCCUGGCACUCCAUAGCAAUUUUAUUUACAACACUAGUAUUCGAGAAGUUGGUGAUGCCAGCUUCUGAAAGAAUAACCUCAGUGUCCUGGAGAAAACUUGGAUUAGGAAAAGUGAAAUUAGAAAUAAAUAUCCCAAGGUCAAGAUGUAAAAUCGAAAUGUCAGUAGCUAAUGAUUAAUCAGAAAAGUGAGCCCUCCUACAGUUUUUCUCAGUUUUUAAUGGGUUUGGAUAAAGCGGCACUGGAAAUCAUUUCAAGAACAAGUAUAUAAAUUUAGUCCAAUAUAAAUAUGUUCGUGAAUAUAGCCACUCAUGGAAACUACAGAGAUACACAAUUGUAAGCAGUUAUGUAAGUAGGUACUAUUCGUAAUUAAUAUGAUAUGGACUCUGAUGAUGCCCUAUGUUUUUGAACUUGCUGUAAAGGUGAAUCCUCAGUUCUGUCUUAAACACUUUAGGAAAUGCUCAUCAGUCACCCUCCUCACCCUUAACUCACGAUUUGAUGAAUUUGGCACAUAAGUGGUUACAAAUGGAAUAGCCUAGGGACUUGUUUUGAGCAACUCCACCACCAGAAGGUAAAACUCAGGAACCAUAAUCCUUGACAUAACCUAACCUAUUUUUUUCUUCACUUUGAGCCAAAGAAAAACUCAGCUUUACUCCUUCUUUACCCUGCAUUACCAGACUUAACCAUUAAUGUUGUAUUACAUUGGAUCUUUCAUAGUUUCUUAGCAAUUGUCCCCAAAGUUUAUUUUUUUGGCUUUGCCCACAGCAUACAGAAGUUCAUGGGCCAGGGACUGAACCCACGCCACAGCUGCAGCCAGUGCCACAUCAGUGACAACACAGGAUCUUUUCCCAGCUAGGCCACCAGGGAACUGCAAUAAAAACUUAUUUUAAGUUUUAAACAUGCUAAAAUAAAGCAGUUGCUUAAAGGGUAACAUACAAAAGUAUAUCUUAGCUAUGGGCAUGGCCCCAAAAAAAAGGUUUGGCUCUGAAAGAGGUGAGAAAUAAUAGUUUACAGAGGGCAUGUGGCAUCGAAAAAAUUUUAUAUUUAAAUCUUCUCCUUCCAGAUCAAAGUCAGGUUCUACUUCAGGACAUUCUUAUCAUUUCCCAGAGGAAUUAGGACUUAAAAUUUUACUUUGGCUUGAAGUCAAGUCAGGGGAAGAUAUGGAAGAUUUCUGAAGUACUUUUGUGGUUUUUUUCUCCAUGACACUCAGUGCUUUUCAUUUGAUUUAUUUUUUCCUUCCCAGUUUUCAAUUCUUUGUAAAUCUUUCAUUUAACCAAAUUUGUACUCUUAAGAAUAGUGGUUUUUGGAGUUCCUGUCGUGGCGCAGUGGUUAACGAAUCCGACUAGGAACCAUGAGGUUGCGGGUUCGGUCCCUGCCCUUGCUCAGUGGGUUAACGAUCCGGCGUUGCCGUGAGCUGUGGUGUAGGUUGCAGACGCGGCUCGGAUCCCGCGUUGCUGUGGCUCUGGUGUAGGCCAGGAGCUACAGCUCCGAUUCAACCCCUAGCCUUGGAACCUCCAUAUGCCGAGGGAGCGGCCCAAGAAAUAGCAACAACAACAACAACAACAAAGACAAAAGACAAAAAAAAAAAAAAAGUUUAAAGAAUAGUGGUUUUUAUGACGAUUCCCAAAAACACAGCAAUGACCCCUUUCUUGAAAAAUGACUUGUUCUAAAAGAUAAUGUCUGCCCUUGGUACCUGUAUCAUUAAUACUUUCUAGCCAGAUUGACUGGGAUCCUUACAGGCACUUUCAGAGAAAAUAGUUGAUGCUCAUUUGAACCAGGAGUUUGGGCUUGAACAGGACUUGUCUGUUUCUUAUCCAGC
RNAcentral lists this long non-coding RNA (2335 nucleotides) under Sus scrofa (pig). Its description in RNAcentral is "lncRNA (ENSSSCG00045025933.1)". Lineage: Eukaryota; Metazoa; Chordata; Mammalia; Artiodactyla; Suidae. The record is from RNAcentral.